Molecule: long non-coding RNA, 557 nt
Organism: Bos taurus (domestic cattle)
Lineage: Eukaryota; Metazoa; Chordata; Mammalia; Artiodactyla; Bovidae
Source: Ensembl
GAUUAGCUCUGGUCGUUUAUAAGACUGUCACUGAAAUCACCCUGUGAUUGCAAAAGACACCAGCUGCAGAGUACCUCCAGCUCAUCUCUCCUUUCUCUGAGACCAUCGUCUCUUCACCGCACAGCCAUAUUUAAACCUCAAGAUCCCACCCCUGCAUGUAGCUGAAUGGACCAGGAGUGGUCACUUGACUAAGCUUAGCCAGUCAUAUUCUCCCCCAACUGUCAAGCAUUUGGAACCAGCAUUUGCAGAUGCUAUAUCUAGCAAAGCUCUGGGGCCUGGUGUGCUGCAGUCCAUGAGGUCACAAAGAGUCAGAUAUGACUUAGCAAGUGACCACCACCACCAACAACAACACUAAGUUGGCAUCAGCACCAAGGAGCAUAUGCCCGGUUUGAAAAGAACAUGAUGAGCUGAAUUGAGAAGUGGCUUAAGUUGGGAGGGAGCCAUGAUCUGGGUCAGAAGAAGUGUUUGCAGAAACUGAGGGUAAUUGCCACAAAGGGGAGGGGGCUGAGAGUCAAGGAUGACAGCUGCCUUCAGAUGUCAGAAAGAGAACCUGAAAC